GCCCCGGUAGCUCAGUUGGAUAGAGCGACCGCCUCCUGAAAGCAGUAGACCACAGGGUUCGAUUCCUGUCCGGGGCG
Molecule: transfer RNA, 77 nt
Filed under: Candidatus Neomicrothrix subdominans
Lineage: Bacteria; Bacillati; Actinomycetota; Acidimicrobiia; Acidimicrobiales; Microthrixaceae
Description: tRNA-OTHER
Rfam family: tRNA
About the family: Transfer RNA (tRNA) molecules are approximately 80 nucleotides in length. Their secondary structure includes four short double-helical elements and three loops (D, anti-codon, and T loops).
Source: RNAcentral